GGUGGCUCAGAGGUUAAGAGCACUGCCUGGUCUUGGCAGAGGAUCUGGGUUCAAUUCCCAGCACCA
This 66-nucleotide transfer RNA is filed under the name Neotoma lepida (desert woodrat). It matches the Rfam family "tRNA", at positions 7 to 64 of the family's 71-position model. Rfam says of the family: Transfer RNA (tRNA) molecules are approximately 80 nucleotides in length. Their secondary structure includes four short double-helical elements and three loops (D, anti-codon, and T loops). Further hydrogen bonds mediate the characteristic L-shaped molecular structure. tRNAs have two regions of fundamental functional importance: the anti-codon, which is responsible for specific mRNA codon recognition, and the 3' end, to which the tRNAs corresponding amino acid is attached (by aminoacyl-tRNA synthetases). tRNAs cope with the degeneracy of the genetic code in two manners: having more than one tRNA (with a specific anti-codon) for a particular amino acid; and 'wobble' base-pairing, i.e. permitting non-standard base-pairing at the 3rd anti-codon position. The record is from Rfam by way of RNAcentral. Lineage: Eukaryota; Metazoa; Chordata; Mammalia; Rodentia; Cricetidae.